This 236-nucleotide ribosomal RNA is filed under the name uncultured bacterium. RNAcentral's name for it is "partial 16S ribosomal RNA". It matches the Rfam family "Bacterial small subunit ribosomal RNA", at positions 118 to 354 of the family's 1533-position model. The record is from RNAcentral.
UGAGGAACCUGCCCCGAAGACCGGGAUAACCCUCCGAAAGGAGAGCUAAUACCGGAUACCCCCACCGGACCGCAUGAUCUGGUGAGGAAAUGGAUUCCGCUUCGGGAGGGCCUCGCGGCCUAUCAGCUUGUUGGUGGGGUAACGGCCCACCAAGGCUUCGACGGGUAGCUGGUCUGAGAGGACGAUCAGCCACACUGGGACCGAGACACGGCCCUGACUCCUACGGGAGGCAGCAG